Molecule: ribosomal RNA, 481 nt
Filed under: Salmonella enterica subsp. enterica serovar Infantis
Lineage: Bacteria; Pseudomonadati; Pseudomonadota; Gammaproteobacteria; Enterobacterales; Enterobacteriaceae
Description: partial 23S ribosomal RNA
Rfam family: Bacterial large subunit ribosomal RNA
Source: RNAcentral
AGACCCGAAACCCGGUGAUCUAGCCAUGGGCAGGUUGAAGGUUGGGUAACACUAACUGGAGGACCGAACCGACUAAUGUUGAAAAAUUAGCGGAUGACCUGUGGCUGGGGGUGAAAGGCCAAUCAAACCGGGAGAUAGCUGGUUCUCCCCGAAAGCUAUUUAGGUAGCGCCUCGUGAAUUCAUCUCCGGGGGUAGAGCACUGUUUCGGCUAGGGGGCCAUCCCGGCUUACCAACCCGAUGCAAACUGCGAAUACCGGAGAAUGUUAUCACGGGAGACACACGGCGGGUGCUAACGUCCGUCGUGAAGAGGGAAACAAACCAGACCGCCAGCUAAGGUCCCAAAGUCAUGGUUAAGUGGGAAACGAUGUGGGAAGGCCCAGACAGCCAGGAUGUUGGCUUAGAAGCAGCCAUCAUUUAAAGAAAGCGUAAUAGCUCACUGGUCGAGUCGGCCUGCGCGGAAGAUGUAACGGGGCUAAACCAU